This 252-nucleotide ribosomal RNA is filed under the name uncultured bacterium. Its description in RNAcentral is "partial 16S ribosomal RNA". It matches the Rfam family "Bacterial small subunit ribosomal RNA", at positions 100 to 354 of the family's 1533-position model. The record is from RNAcentral.
CGGGGUGAGUAACGCGUGAGCAAUCUGCCUUUGGAUGGGGGAUAACAGCCGGAAACGGCUGCUAAUACCGCAUAAUGCAACGGGACCGCAUGGUCCUGCUGCCAAAGAUUUAUUGUCCAAAGAUGAGCCCGCGUCUGAUUAGCCAGUUGGCGGGGUAACGGCCCACCAAAGCGACGAUCAGUAGCCGGACUGAGAGGUUGAACGGCCACAAUGGGACUGAGACACGGCCCAUACUCCUACGGAAGGCAGCAG